UGGGAUCCUAAAAUAACCGCAAUACAAGAGAUAAAAAAUUUAAAUGAUUUUCCAUUAGAAGAAUUAAUCGGGUCAUUAAUGACCUAUGAAAUGACACUUUUGGAACAUUUUGAACCCGAUGAGCACUUGAACCACCUUCCAAAGAAUAGGAAGGAUUUGGAACUCCGGACAAAUGAAUACCACUUGAGCGAUGACUCAAGUGAUGAGGACAAUGAUGAACUUGAACUUCGAACACUAAAUCUUAAUAAGUUUAUUAAACAAAAAUCUAAAAUAAAUAAUGAACUUGAACGGAGGAAGAGGCUAAAGAAGAGGAAGGUAACCAAGGAUGAAUCAAGAACUUCC
RNAcentral lists this long non-coding RNA (342 nucleotides) under Musa acuminata (dwarf banana). RNAcentral's name for it is "long non-coding RNA (MACU_LNC009054)". The record is from RNAcentral. Lineage: Eukaryota; Viridiplantae; Streptophyta; Magnoliopsida; Zingiberales; Musaceae.